RNAcentral lists this ribosomal RNA (460 nucleotides) under uncultured bacterium. Its description in RNAcentral is "partial 16S ribosomal RNA". It matches the Rfam family "Bacterial small subunit ribosomal RNA", at positions 338 to 795 of the family's 1533-position model. The record is from RNAcentral.
CCUACGGGUGGCAGCAGUGAGGAAUAUUGGUCAAUGGACGAGAGUCUGAACCAGCCAAGUAGCGUGAAGGAUGACUGCCCUAUGGGUUGUAAACUUCUUUUAUAUGGGAAUAAAAUGUUCCACGUGUGGGAUUUUGUAUGUACCAUAUGAAUAAGGAUCGGCUAACUCCGUGCCAGCAGCCGCGGUAAUACGGAGGAUCCGAGCGUUAUCCGGAUUUAUUGGGUUUAAAGGGAGCGUAGGUGGAUUGUUAAGUCAGUUGUGAAAGUUUGCGGCUCAACCGUAAAAUUGCAGUUGAAACUGGCAGUCUUGAGUACAGUAGAGGUGGGCGGAAUUCGUGGUGUAGCGGUGAAAUGCUUAGAUAUCACGAAGAACUCCGAUUGCGAAGGCAGCUCACUGGACUGCAACUGACACUGAUGCUCGAAAGCGCGGGUAUCGAACAGGAUUAGAUACCCCAGUAGUC